Molecule: ribosomal RNA, 435 nt
Filed under: uncultured bacterium
Lineage: Bacteria
Description: partial 16S ribosomal RNA
Rfam family: Bacterial small subunit ribosomal RNA
Source: RNAcentral
AGCGAACGCUGGCGGCAGGCUUAACACAUGCAAGUCGAGCGGGCAUCUUCGGAUGUCAGCGGCAGACGGGUGAGUAACACGUGGGAACGUACCCUUCGGUUCGGAACAACUCUGGGAAACUGGAGCUAAUACCGGAUACGCCCUUAUGGGGAAAGGUUUACUGCCGAAGGAUCGGCCCGCGCCUGAUUAGCUAGUUGGUGGGGUAACGGCCUACCAAGGCGACGAUCAGUAGCUGGUCUGAGAGGAUGAUCAGCCACACUGGGACUGAGACACGGCCCAGACUCCUACGGGAGGCAGCAGUGGGGAAUAUUGGACAAUGGGCGCAAGCCUGAUCCAGCCAUGCCGCGUGAGUGAUGAAGGCCUUAGGGUUGUAAAGCUCUUUUGUCCGGGACGAUAAUGACGGUACCGGAAGAAUAAGCCCCGGCUAACUUCGUG